AUCUUGCCUAAGGAUGAAUUAGAUUAAAAUAAGUAAGAGCAGAAAAACAACAAUCAAAGUUUUAUCCUGGAUCGCUUAUGAAUGCUCGUAGUGUUGAAGCUCAACUUUGUUUUCUAAGAACGGUGUUGAAGAGGAAAGCAUUGCAAUCUAAUGCAGUCACACUACCAAGGGGUGGUAAAAAUGGGAUGGCAAACCCAUUCAGGCUACUCGCAAUUGCAACAUGACCUGUCAUGAUCAAAAUUCCAGCACUUCAAUGUUCAUUGAGUUCUAACUCAGCUGUUGCCUGCCAUCUGCUAUAAUCUUGUUUGCUUAUUUAUAACAAAGAAGCUCCGAAACACAUUUAAAUCAUCUGUUGUCUAAGUGAACCGUAAGUUUUUUCACCGUACGUACAGCUUGUAACUGGUGAUCCUCAAUAUGGACGACAAAAUUCUCCAAGUUACGAUGAGUCUUCAAACAAAAAGUGCUACUGAUACUUUUCUUGAACAAGAUAUUAGUUAUCAAGUAUUAGUGUGUUUUAUGUCCUGCUUGUCGCAUGGCUAUUUGGUCACGCUCAGAGAACUAGUUUUCUCCCUUCCAAAUAAUUCCAGAUUUUACAAGACAUGCUUAAUACUCGUGCAUAAUUGAUCAGUGUGAAAGUAAAAACGCCACUGAAAUCGAUUUGUCUCGUUUUGUUUCGAACCGAUUUCAAAUAGUAACCCAACCAUACAAUGAUCUUGAACGUGAUUGAAUUUAGGCCAAUCCCCAUAAAAUUGAAUUGUGUCACCGUGAGCGGCGCCUAAAACAUCUCAAGCACUGUGCUAUUCUUUGAAAAAGGCUCAAGUAAAACAAUCCUUGUUCGGAUUUCUUAUGAAAAUAUGAGCAACAGUGAAUUUGGUUGGACUCCUCGCGUAAACGGUGCACAGUACACUAUACUGUACAUCCAUAACCAGACAUAAUCCAGAGCUCGGGAUGUAAUAAUGGACGUGACAGGUUCUUAUAAGAUGUUCCACGUGGAUUUUACCUGAAAUAUCGUCUGGUUCUUCGUUUCCCUCGUCUUCUUCUUCGGUAAUAGAUUGUGGAUAACGAAGUCGUGAGAGG
Tigriopus californicus is the source of this 1077-nucleotide long non-coding RNA. RefSeq lists it as uncharacterized. The record is from RefSeq and is a predicted model, not a curated record. The transcript has 3 exons. NCBI's taxonomy places the organism in Eukaryota, Metazoa, Arthropoda, Copepoda, Harpacticoida, Harpacticidae.